RNAcentral lists this small RNA (115 nucleotides) under Marmota monax (woodchuck). The record is from RNAcentral. Lineage: Eukaryota; Metazoa; Chordata; Mammalia; Rodentia; Sciuridae.
GCUGGGCAUACUGACACAUGCCUGUAAUCCCAGUGGCUUGGGAGGCUGAGGCAGGAGGAUCUCAAGUUCAACUUGGGCAAGUUCAGCCUGGGCAACUUGGUGAGAUCCUGUCUCU